GUGCUUGCUUCUGCAGCACAUAUGCUAAAAUGGCAAUGAUACAGAGAAGAUUUGCAUGGCCUCUGUGCAAGGAUGAUGCAAAUUUGUGAAGUGUUCCAUAUUUAA
Molecule: small nuclear RNA, 105 nt
Filed under: Myotis brandtii (Brandt's bat)
Lineage: Eukaryota; Metazoa; Chordata; Mammalia; Chiroptera; Vespertilionidae
Source: RNAcentral